UACGAAGGGGGCUAGCGUUGCUCGGAAUUACUGGGCGUAAAGCGCACGUAGGCGGACCGAUAAGUCGGGGGUGAAAUCCUGGAGCUCAACUCCAGAACUGCCUUCGAAACUGCCGGUCUUGAGUUCGGGAGAGGUGAGUGGAACUGCGAGUGUAGAGGUGAAAUUCGUAGAUAUGGGGAGGAACACCGGUGGCGAAGGCGGCCACCUGGACGGUAACUGACGCUGAGACGCGAAAGCGUGGGGAGCAAACAGG
RNAcentral lists this ribosomal RNA (253 nucleotides) under uncultured bacterium. RNAcentral's name for it is "partial 16S ribosomal RNA". It matches the Rfam family "Bacterial small subunit ribosomal RNA", at positions 524 to 776 of the family's 1533-position model. The record is from RNAcentral.